GAUGAACGCUGGCGGCGUGCCUAAUACAUGCAAGUCGAGCGAACGGACGAGAAGCUUGCUUCUCUGAUGUUAGCGGCGGACGGGUGAGUAACACGUGGAUAACCUACCUAUAAGACUGGGAUAACUUCGGGAAACCGGAGCUAAUACCGGAUAAUAUUUUGAACCGCAUGGUUCAAAAGUGAAAGACGGUCUUGCUGUCACUUAUAGAUGGAUCCGCGCUGCAUUAGCUAGUUGGUAAGGUAACGGCUUACCAAGGCAACGAUGCAUAGCCGACCUGAGAGGGGGAUCGGCCACACUGGAACUGAGACACGGUCCAGACUCCUACGGGAGGGAGCAGUAGGGAAUCUUCCGCAAUGGGCGAAAGCCUGACGGAGCAACGCCGCGUGAGUGAUGAAGGUCUUCGGAUCGUAAAACUCUGUUAUUAGGGAAGAACAUAUGUGUAAGUAACUGUGCACAUCUUGACGGUACCUAAUCAGAAAGCCACGGCUAACUACGUG
RNAcentral lists this ribosomal RNA (497 nucleotides) under uncultured bacterium. Its description in RNAcentral is "partial 16S ribosomal RNA". It matches the Rfam family "Bacterial small subunit ribosomal RNA", at positions 28 to 507 of the family's 1533-position model. The record is from RNAcentral.